This 464-nucleotide ribosomal RNA is filed under the name uncultured Planctomycetota bacterium. RNAcentral describes it as "bacterial SSU rRNA". It matches the Rfam family "Bacterial small subunit ribosomal RNA", at positions 365 to 819 of the family's 1533-position model. The record is from RNAcentral. Lineage: Bacteria; Pseudomonadati; Planctomycetota.
UUCGCAAUGCCCGAAAGGGUGACGAAGCGACGCCGCGUGUGGGAAGAAGGCCUUCGGGUUGUAAACCACUGUCGGGAGUUAAGAAAUGUAAGGGUGUUAAUAGCAUCCUUACUUGACUAAGGCUCCGGAGGAAGCCACGGCUAACUCUGUGCCAGCAGCCGCGGUAAUACAGAGGCGGCAAGCGUUGUUCGGAAUUAUUGGGCGUAAAGAGCACGUAGGCGGCCGUGUAAGUCGGUUGUGAAAGCCUUCCGCUUAACGGAAGAACAGCAGCCGAUACUGCAUAGCUUGAGUGCGGAAGGGGAGAGUGGAACUUCUGGUGGAGCGGUGAAAUGCGUAGAUAUCAGAAGGAACGCCGGCGGCGAAAGCGGCUCUCUGGUCCGUAACUGACGCUGAGUGUGCGAAAGCUAGGGGAGCAAACGGGAUUAGAUACCCCGGUAGUCCUAGCCGUAAACGAUGGGCACUAA